UGCGGUAAUUUGACCGUGCAAAGGUAGCAUAAUCAGUAGUCUUUUAAUUGAAGGCUUGUAUGAACGGUUGGAUGAAGGAAAAGCUGUCUCUUUUAUAAUUUAAAACUUGACUUUUAAGUGAAAAGGCUUAAAUAGCGUAGUGGGACGAUAAGACCCUAUAAAACUUUAUAUGUUGCUUGCUUUUUUUUAAAAUUCUAUUUAAAAUUUGAAAAGCAUUCUUCAUAUUUUGUUGGGGAGACAUUGAUAUAAGUUGUAACUGUCUAAAUAAAAAAUAUAAUUAUCAUUAUAAUUCGAUCCUUCUUUGUGGAUAAAAAGAAUAAGUUACUUUAGGGAUAACAGCGUGAUUUUUUCUGAGAGUUCUUAUCGAAGAAAGUAGUUGCGACCUCGAUGUUGAAUUAA
Molecule: ribosomal RNA, 399 nt
Filed under: Palaemon serenus
Lineage: Eukaryota; Metazoa; Arthropoda; Malacostraca; Decapoda; Palaemonidae
Description: partial 16S ribosomal RNA
Rfam family: Bacterial large subunit ribosomal RNA
Source: RNAcentral